This 269-nucleotide ribosomal RNA is filed under the name uncultured Cellulomonas sp. RNAcentral's name for it is "partial 16S ribosomal RNA". It matches the Rfam family "Bacterial small subunit ribosomal RNA", at positions 1114 to 1382 of the family's 1533-position model. Lineage: Bacteria; Bacillati; Actinomycetota; Actinomycetes; Micrococcales; Cellulomonadaceae. The record is from RNAcentral.
GUUGCCAGCGGGUCAUGCCGGGACUCAUGGGAGACUGCCGGGGUCAAACUCGGAGGAAGUGGGGAUGACGUCAAAUCAUCAUGCCCCUUAUGUCUUGGGCUUCACGCAUGCUACAAUGGCCGGUACAAAGGGCUGCGAUACCGCGAGGUGGAGCGAAUCCCAGAAAGCCGGUCUCAGUUCGGAUUGGGGUCUGCAACUCGACCCCAUGAAGUCGGAGUCGCUAGUAAUCGCAGAUCAGCAACGCUGCGGUGAAUACGUUCCCGGGCCUU